AACCGGCAGUGAAUUGGCACUGCUGAAGGCCAAUUGGGGCGAGAAUG
Molecule: non-coding RNA, 47 nt
Filed under: unclassified sequences
Description: gut-2 RNA
Rfam family: gut-2 RNA
About the family: gut metagenomes. Environment (Cow rumen (57))
Source: Rfam by way of RNAcentral